Molecule: ribosomal RNA, 497 nt
Filed under: uncultured bacterium
Lineage: Bacteria
Description: partial 16S ribosomal RNA
Rfam family: Bacterial small subunit ribosomal RNA
Source: RNAcentral
GAUGAGCGCUGGCGGCGUGCCUAAUACAUGCAAGUCGAGCGAACGGACGAGAAGCUUGCUUCUCUGAUGUUAGCGGCGGACGGGUGAGUAACACGUGGAUAACCUACCUAUAAGACUGGGAUAACUUCGGGAAACCGGAGCUAAUACCGGAUAAUAUUUUGAACCGCAUGGUUCAAAAGUGAAAGACGGUCUUGUUGUCACUUAUAGAUGGAUCCGCGCUGCAUUAGCUAGUUGGUAAGGUAACGGCUUACCAAGGCAACGAUGCAUAGCCGACCUGAGAGGGUGAUCGGCCACACUGGAACUGAGACACGGUCCAGACUCCUACGGGAGGCAGCAGUAGGGAAUCUUCCGCAAUGGGCGAAAGCCUGACGGAGCAACGCCGCGUGAGUGAUGAAGGUCUUCGGAUCGUAAAACUCUGUUAUUAGGGAAGAACAUAUGUGUAAGUAACUGUGCACAUCUUGACGGUACCUAAUCAGAAAGCCACGGCUAACUACGUG